RNAcentral lists this ribosomal RNA (359 nucleotides) under uncultured bacterium. RNAcentral describes it as "bacterial SSU rRNA". It matches the Rfam family "Bacterial small subunit ribosomal RNA", at positions 29 to 416 of the family's 1533-position model. The record is from RNAcentral.
AACGAACGCUGGCGGCAGGCCUAACACAUGCAAGUCGAACGCUCUAGCAAUAGAGAGUGGCAGACGGGUGAGUAACGCGUGGGAACCUUCCCUGUGGUGCGGAAUAACUCGCCGAAAGGCGUGCUAAUACCGCAUAAGCCCGCAAGGGGAAAGAUUUAUCGCCAUAGGAUGGGCCCGCGUAGGAUUAGCUAGUUGGUGAGGUAAUGGCUCACCAAGGCGACGAUCCUAGCUGGUUUGAGAGAAUGACCAGCCACACUGGGACUGAGACACGGCCCAGACUCCUACGGGAGGCAGCAGUGGGGAAUCUUGGACAAUGGGCGCAAGCCUGAUCCAGCCAUGCCGCGUGAGUGACGAAGGCC